Molecule: long non-coding RNA, 1111 nt
Organism: Eptesicus fuscus (big brown bat)
Lineage: Eukaryota; Metazoa; Chordata; Mammalia; Chiroptera; Vespertilionidae
Exons: 4
Source: RefSeq, a predicted model, not a curated record
UCAGGUGCUGCUGGUUUGGCGAUUACAAGUUGAAUAACACUGCUCUAAACUACACAGCUAGAUGAGAUGGGGAAACUGAGGUCCCAGAAGAGAAAAAGACUAAAUCUGUUGCCCUCUGGCCCACUUCCUGGCUCGCCCUACUCAGCUAUCCUGCUGUUCACCGAUAAGUUUCCUGGAAAUGUAAAAUGAUGUUAGCUUGAAGAAGAGAUGAGGAAAGUGAAUCUGCUUUAUAUCGUCAGUGGUUCAUGAAAUAAUACAGUGCAAACAAUGAACCUUGUCUGUUUUGUUCAUUGCCCUGUCUCCAGUUUAUACAAGGAUGCCCGUGCACACCUGGCGAUACCUGGUACUCAAUAAAUAUUUGUUGAAGAAAAUGAAUGUGCACAAAAAACAAAGGAGGAACCAUGCCUAACCUCAUACAAAGAAAAUAGCUUCUUCCUUCGCCAAAACCCACCCUUGUUCUUUUUAAUUGCCUGGCUUCAACUGUCCAUCAAAGCCUUGAACUGCUGAGGACUAUGAUGUCAUCAUGGCUACACAGUGACUUCACCUUCCUGUUAGAAGGCCAUCUGCUGCAAGAUGACCCUCCACGGAAUACAAAAUACCGAUCCACACAGCUCCAGAGGCGGACGCUUGGAAGUCAUUAUUUUCUUGCCUUUGUCUGAACACUGAGUCUGACCUUCUUUUCCCGGGAAGUUUUGCUCCUUCCUGCUUCCUUCAUGGGCAGCGUUUGCAACCAGCAGGUGCUUUCAGAAGGAUGCAGAUAAACUGAAUCACGUUCAGAAGACGGGGCUGGGGUGAGAAAGGAUAAGAAAACAAGAAAGAAUGAGACAUGUUUAGCCCCAGCAGAACAGACAAGGGGCUAUAUUCACGUGGCUUUAAGGGACAGGCUUGGGGAAGAAAGACUCAACUAGUUCCAUAGGAGCCCAAAGAAUAGGAAGAGGGUUUUAGCUCAAAAUGAGGAAAUCCACAGCAGAACAUUGUUUUUUCAAAGGCAUGAGCUGUGGAGUCAGACUGACGUGGCCACUGAGCAGCCUCAGUGAUAAUCUCAGGGGACUGAAAUGGAUAAUCCACAAGAAGUACAAUGCCUAACAAAAAAGAAACCCACAAUAAAUGU